RNAcentral lists this transfer RNA (59 nucleotides) under Pangasianodon hypophthalmus (striped catfish). RNAcentral describes it as "tRNA-Leu". Lineage: Eukaryota; Metazoa; Chordata; Actinopteri; Siluriformes; Pangasiidae. The record is from RNAcentral.
UCCCUGGUGGUCUAGUGGAUAAUGAUGGCACGGCCCGGGUUCAAUUCCCGGGCAGGGAA